Molecule: microRNA precursor, 57 nt
Filed under: Xenopus laevis (African clawed frog)
Lineage: Eukaryota; Metazoa; Chordata; Amphibia; Anura; Pipidae
Description: Xla-Novel-17_pre stem-loop
Source: RNAcentral
UGGGUGAGUUUAAGAGUUGUAGAUAUUUUGGAUGUUUCAGCUCUUUAACUUUCCAGG